Pelobates cultripes (western spadefoot toad) is the source of this 213-nucleotide non-coding RNA. The record is from the annotation of a GenBank genome assembly. Lineage: Eukaryota; Metazoa; Chordata; Amphibia; Anura; Pelobatidae.
UGCAAAAUGAUGUCAGUUAUAAAAAGUUUUAAAUCAUUUAUUGACAGUUAAUGAACCACCAAUGUUGAAAUUAACUGGCUGUGAUGGCAGUUAUAGGCUGUAACUAUAAUCAUCGAACGCAGACCACUGCGAUUGGAUCCUGGGUGACUACUUUGGUUGCCAGAUUUUGUGAGAGUGAGGGGGAGUGAAGAAAAACUACCACAACAAGAGGAC